This 336-nucleotide long non-coding RNA is filed under the name Zostera marina. RNAcentral describes it as "long non-coding RNA (ZMAR_LNC005227)". The record is from RNAcentral. Lineage: Eukaryota; Viridiplantae; Streptophyta; Magnoliopsida; Alismatales; Zosteraceae.
GGAACUGGUGAGACAUGCCUGAUUACGUCAGUCACUCCCAGGAACGCCCUUCAACAAGGACUAGGGUUCCGUCGCUUUAUGCCGGACCCCCGAAGAGAUCCACGGUGCGGAGCAAGUGUUUACGUCAAGUACUCAAGGCAACACCUGGGAAUUGCCGACUGGGACUACCAAGUCGCCGAUUCCAGGAGUGCAUCGUCGACUCCAGACAGGGCACUCGGGUCUGGUAGACCGAGGACCUGACCACAAGGGAGUCGGCGACUCCACCUCUGAAUCGACGACUCCCAUACCUGAGUCGCCGAUUCCCAGCCAUUACUUGGGAGGGCCCACGUCAUUAUG